Molecule: long non-coding RNA, 1332 nt
Organism: Ostrea edulis (European flat oyster)
Lineage: Eukaryota; Metazoa; Mollusca; Bivalvia; Ostreida; Ostreidae
Exons: 3
Source: RefSeq, a predicted model, not a curated record
UAUUAUUAUUAUUAGAAAUGAGGAUUAAACUGACAACAUCACAAAAGUUCGGCUGACUGUUAUAUUUAGAAUUAACUCGAACGGAAUUUCGCAAUGUCAAGUUUUCUAUUCGUUAAGAUGUGUUGCAGGAGGGCACUUGGCUUAAUGAAUAUCACAUACAACAGUGAAUCAAAAUACACGUGUAAUCGACCGAAAUCUUCUCAGCCCGUGCUGUACUCCAGGACCCAUAUUUACUAAAGUUCGUAGACGUAGACGUAAACGUAGGAUUUACGUCUGACUUAAGAUUAGAGUUACGUACUCGUGAAAUGGUAUUUACAAAACCGUUCGUAGCCGCAACGUAACUUACGAUGUACGAUUGCACGUACGCGUGCGCAGUGGCUAUUUUCACUUCGAAGCGUAAAAAGUGUGAAUUUGCUCAUUUACUUUGAAUUCCCUGCGCUACCGCCGCAUUAUAACGAAAAAGAACACAGAACUUUGUGAGAAAGCAACGAAUUUCAAAGUAUACGUAUGCCUGCCAACGGCAUGUCGAUCAACUGUACCGUUAUUCAGUGUUGUUUACAAAUCCAAAUGGAAGGUUCAUCAAAUUUAACGCAUUUGACUUGUGCAUGGAUCUGCGAUGCUGUAGGUGUUCAAAAAGAAGUCGGCAUGGACUGACAAGUCAUAAAGGUGGUCAAGAAAUAAAUUGCCAACAGACAGCAGCAUUCCUUGAUUUAGAUGCAUUUCUCUUCAUGUCCUCUCCUGAAAGAUUUUCCAUGAUGCCUCAGGGUUAGGAUUGGGAUGCAAGAUGUACAGUACAUAUAUAUGAUGUCUAUGGGUACAUUGCUGUAAUGGCCUGAAAAAUCUUUUGCGAAACCGAGAAAUGCUCAUCUUCCAUUGCCUUGAUUGUGUAAAAGGACAAGCAGAGGAAUGAUUCAAAAAUAUAUGGCAGGAUUGAGAAUAUAACCCAUGACCCGUAGUGUGGUACUCUACCCACUGAUCAAUCCAUGCUGAUGGUCCAUCUGCUACAUUGAUGUCAUCUUAUAUAUUUAUUUAUUCAUUUAUAUCAUAUGGACAUUUAAAAAUUGACAGUAAAAUAAAAAAAAGUUUGAUAUUCAGCAAAAUAGAAUUUUUUUUACAAUACAUGUUUAAGAAAUUAAGUACAUGUACAUGCAUUGUUAUGCAUACAAUUAUGUACAUGUAAUUAUAUUUGUUAAUAGAUAACUUUUUAGAUGAAUUUUCAUGUUGUUAUUGAUAUUGACAUGUACAUGUAUUACUUCCAUUUCUAGAAUGAUUUUAACAUCUUGAUAUUAAAAAGAUGACAUAAUAAAUAAAUCUUAAAUAUUUGUCAACAAA